GCCAGGUGUGGUGGUGCAUGCUUGUAAUCCCAGUGGCUCAGGAGGCUGAGGCAGGAGAAUUGCAAGUUCAAAGCCAGCCUUAGCAAUUGAGCAAGACCCUGUCUCAA
Molecule: small RNA, 107 nt
Filed under: Marmota monax (woodchuck)
Lineage: Eukaryota; Metazoa; Chordata; Mammalia; Rodentia; Sciuridae
Source: RNAcentral